RNAcentral lists this signal recognition particle RNA (265 nucleotides) under Paenibacillus tarimensis. Its description in RNAcentral is "signal recognition particle sRNA large type". It matches the Rfam family "Bacterial large signal recognition particle RNA". Rfam says of the family: The signal recognition particle (SRP) is a universally conserved ribonucleoprotein involved in the co-translational targeting of proteins to membranes. Archaeal SRP consists of a 7S RNA and homologues of the eukaryotic SRP19 and SRP54 proteins. The record is from RNAcentral. Lineage: Bacteria; Bacillati; Bacillota; Bacilli; Caryophanales; Paenibacillaceae. RNAcentral also lists the same sequence under 1 other name.
CCGUGCUAGACGGGGAGGUAGCGGUGCCCUGUAACUCGCAAUCCGCUGUAGCGAGGUUGAAUUCCUGUUAGAGGUUGUGCGAUGCAAGGCUGGCGUCUGUGAAGCGUGUUGACGGUCGGGUCCUCCGCAAUGGGCGCCUGUGAAUCUGGUCAGGUCCGGAAGGAAGCAGCCAUAAGCAGGUUAGCCCAUGUGCCGGAGGGGUGCCUGGCCCGAGCGUGGAUCAGAAGUGCCGCUUGGAUCGCAUACAUCGAAGACAGGUGCACGG